RNAcentral lists this long non-coding RNA (621 nucleotides) under Capsella grandiflora. Its description in RNAcentral is "long non-coding RNA (CGRA_LNC001284)". Lineage: Eukaryota; Viridiplantae; Streptophyta; Magnoliopsida; Brassicales; Brassicaceae. The record is from RNAcentral.
UUGUAGUAUAUAAUUUUGGUUUGAGUUUUUAAAUAAAUAUGAAGUUUGCAUAAUUUUAAUGUAAUUAUCAAUUUGGAAAUUAAUAGUAUGUAGAAUAAGUACAUAUUGUAAUAGUUAAUUAAUGUUUUAAUAUGAAAAGAUUGUUUGGAAACAGACUACCGUUCAUAUAAUUAAAAUGGUCAAAGAAAGUGGAAGGCAAUUAUUAUUAAUUAUUUGGAUACUUUUCAUAUAACACAAAGUUACAAUGAAAUGCAUAAGAGUGGUUUGUCAAAUUAUUAUUUUGUAUAUAGAGAAAAGACAAAAAAAAAUAUGCAAGAGAAAUCUAUACCAUAUAAAAGUUCCAAAUUGCUUAUCUCCAAGAUACCAAAGGUUUCAGAGUUCUAAUUUGAUAAUACACUUGACCCGUAGAGAACUUAUUGUAUAUGUUUUGCUGUCUAUUUUCCAUUCGUAGAAGACAUCAUCAAGUCAGUAAGAUUAACAAUAGUGAGAUAGGCAUGAAGUAUAUAACUUGAUUACUACUUGUAAUAAUUUGUCCAAAUUUCAGUUCGUAGAAGUAUGAUUAAAAAUAUCAAAACCUUUCUUGAUCAACGUACCCUCUCUCCUUCUCUUAUGAUUGAAGAA